AGUGAACGCUGGCGGUAGGCCUAACACAUGCAAGUCGAACGGCAGCACAGUAAGAGCUUGCUCUUACGGGUGGCGAGUGGCGGACGGGUGAGGAAUACAUCGGAAUCUACUUUUUCGUGGGGGAUAACGUAGGGAAACUUACGCUAAUACCGCAUACGACCUACGGGUGAAAGCAGGGGAUCUUCGGACCUUGCGCGAUUGAAUGAGCCGAUGUCGGAUUAGAUAGUUGGCGGGGUAAAGGCCCACCAAGGCGACGAUCCGUAGCUGGUCUGAGAGGAUGAUCAGCCACACUGGAACUGGGACACGGUCCAGACUCCUACGGGAGGCAGCAGUGGGGAAUAUUGGACAAUGGGCGCGAGCCUGAUCCAGCCAUACCGCGUGGGUGAAGAAGGCCUUCGGGUUGUAAAGCCCUUUUGUUGGGAAAGAAAAGCAGCAGGUUAAUACCCCGCUGUUCUGACGGUACCCAAAGAAUAAGCACCGGCUAACUUCGUG
RNAcentral lists this ribosomal RNA (492 nucleotides) under uncultured bacterium. RNAcentral's name for it is "partial 16S ribosomal RNA". It matches the Rfam family "Bacterial small subunit ribosomal RNA", at positions 29 to 507 of the family's 1533-position model. The record is from RNAcentral.